RNAcentral lists this ribosomal RNA (777 nucleotides) under uncultured Neocallimastigales. RNAcentral describes it as "partial large subunit ribosomal RNA". It matches the Rfam family "Eukaryotic large subunit ribosomal RNA", at positions 24 to 645 of the family's 3401-position model. The record is from RNAcentral. Lineage: Eukaryota; Fungi; Neocallimastigomycota; Neocallimastigomycetes; Neocallimastigales.
AUCUCUGUAGAGUCUGCAUAUCAAUAAGCGGAGGAAAAGAAACUAACUAGGAUUCCCUUAGUAACGGCGAGUGAAGCGGGGAGAGCUCAAAUUUGAAAUCUUCAAGGUUUUACCUUGACGAAUUGUAGUUUAAAGAAGUGUUUUCUGUUGGAAUUUUCGGUAAAAGUUCUUUGGAAAUAGGACAUCAAUAGAGGGUGAGAAUCCCGUAUUUGACCAUUAUUUUCAGCUGUGUGAUACACUUUCAAAGAGUCGGAUUGUUUGGGAAUGCAGUCCAAAAUGGGUGGUAAAUUUCAUCUAAAGCUAAAUAUUGGCGAGAGACCGAUAGCGAACAAGUACCGUGAGGGAAAGAUGAAAAGAACUUUGAAAAGAGAGUUAAACAGUACGUGAAAUUGUCAAAAGGGAAGCGUUUGACACCAGUGUUGUUUUCUCGAAAAUCAAUUAAAAAUGCUUGAUUUUGUGUUGUAUUGACCUUAUAAGCUUUCUGCACUUUUUCUAUGUCUUUUUUAAUGCACUUUUCGUUUAACAAGUCAACAUCAAUUUCUUUUGUUGUAAAAAGGGUCAUUGGAAGGUGGCUUUCUUUUCGGAGAAAGUGUUUAUAGCCUUUGACUCCUGCAAUCGGAGAGACUGAGGUCUGCAGCGUAGAUCCUUCUUGGAUUAGAUUCAUUUGUGCUAAGUUAUAGCUUUUCAUAGACAACUUGUUGACUAUGUUUAGUCUUGUAGCUUACUCGCUUAUGUAAUUUUACCUACGCUUAGGAUGUUGAUCUCUCACAGUCGAGC